RNAcentral lists this ribosomal RNA (603 nucleotides) under Tetra sinicae. RNAcentral's name for it is "partial 28S ribosomal RNA". Lineage: Eukaryota; Metazoa; Arthropoda; Arachnida; Trombidiformes; Eriophyidae. The record is from RNAcentral.
AAAUAGAACUUUGCAGAGAGAGUUAACAGGGCGUGAAACCGUUAAUUGGCAAACGAAUCGGAGCCACGAAGUCGUUUCGUCGUUGAGUCGGGAUCAAGUUCAGCGAGCAUUUGCCUAGAAAACAAGUGCGCGUGUACUCUUAAUCUGGCCAACUUUGUAAGCGUACACUGCAACUAGUUAGACGAUUGGCCAUGGGCACAGCGAGCGAGUCAAGCAAUUGACUUGUAAGCGAAGCGUUUGUUUGCUCGCGCUAGCAGUGGCGCAGCCAGUGCCUCGGCGCUGUGUUGUGUUGCUAAGCGUGCGGCAAGUGAACUAUGGUCAAAUACUGACUAGCGAAAUGAAAAUCGUUGCCUCGUGCAACGUUAGAGACAAAGCAACUUGCUAGACGCGCCUCUACGCGUGCCGACUGCCGGCUUCAAGUUCGGCGCUUUUGAAUUUAGACUUGCUUGCUACCAGUGGGGCAACUCCUGGUGCUUGUACAGCUUCUAUCUAAUCAAGCGUUGACUUAACCCUGCAUUGUUCGGUCGCGAACGAUUGGAUGGCACGUUCCACUAAGCAAGCUGUAAUUUGAAUUGGCAGUGAGUAGGUCGGCUUUCCGAACGA